CCAAGAACAAUCUUUGUGACAAUGUCUGCAUCUGUUGACUAAAAUUUGAAACCUAUUUAGCUUUUUAACAAGGUCAACAGUUUUCAUCAACUUGUAGUCGCCAAAUAUAAUUAAACAUUAGUAAAUACUGACUAAAUUAGUUAAAUCAAUCUGUCUUUAUUCAAAAGAUAAGUGUUUAUUUCCGCGAAAAUGGUCAACACUUUGUUUUUCGCAAUCACAACGUUACAUGAACAUGGAUGACCUAAAAUGCGAAUACGUAAAGAAAAAAAGAUGCCUAAGAUGGUCUCAAGAAAUGAUAGUGGGAAAAUAUGGGAGUGAUCAAAACUUUUACUGUGCCGAAUCAAACAUGAAAGUGUAAACUAUCGUUUUAUGAAUAGUGAGUGCCUGAAUAUCAAAAGUGAAAAUGUGAUGUGUCAAACUGAUUGUUUACUUCGCGACAGACAGGUGACGGUGAGUGGUUUAUAGAAGUGGUUCGCGAGGGCGGAGGGUGACGGGCGGUAUGUCGAGCCGUUCGAGUCCCCUCAACGGCGGCUACGACGCUGCCGAGCCCGCUGUGAGGCUCUCGGUCCGCAAAGAUCUGUUCCCUCAGGAUGGUCUCUCCGAUGCAGCCUCCGACUCGGACUCGGAACCUCUGCAGGAGGAUUUCGACAGAGUCUCCUGCGUUAAGCUAGAGACAGAUUUCGAGCAGAGCAUCGACGAAAUCGCCCACCAAAAGAUGAAGGUGAUCAAUGGAGCUCUCCCGUCCGCACCUCGGUCGCGCCAUAAAAAACACAAGCAGCAUUCGAAACGCGAUAAAGACUCACCUCCCAACGGUUGUCCUCCUAAAGAAAAGAAAAAGAAGAAAAAGUCGCACGAAUCACAUAAAAGGACGCAUUCUUCGAAUAGUGUAGUGUCACAAGUAAAGGGUGGUAAAAAUUUAAAUUUAGUGAGUAGUAGUGAGUGCCAGGAGGAGGAGCUAGCCGAGUGCGAGGACGAGAGCGAGACCUCCGAGGAUGAAGUGUUACAUAGUAUGAAGUUACCCAUAAUUAAUAUAUCGAGGCAAAGUGGCAAACCGUACAGCCAUGAACUUAGUCAAUUAUCAUCCAAAAAGAGUAAAAACAAGGACUCCUCUAAGGAACAAAGGACACAUAUAGUGAUACCCUCCAGUGGUAAACCGCGUUCUAUGUUGGGUCUCUGUAGUUCUCGUAGUAAAAAGAAAUCUAAGAAGACUGAACGCGCAGCUGUUUACAGGAGCCAGAUCGUGGACUCAAAUACCAAACUUAAGAUUAAGAUUAGAAGAACAAGGGAACAGGACACUGUUGUGCCAACACCGAAACUAAUAUCCGAUUUAGGGCAAAGAAAAUCCAAAAAGAAAAGAGCCUACUCCCCAGCCCCUAGUAACAGUUCCGGGGAGGAGUAUGAUCCAACUAAAGGUGAUACGGCUGCCUCAAUAAGUGUGGCUGCCCCAAAACCACGGCAUUCACAGCCCAAAACGCGAAAAUCAAACAAUAAUAACCCUAAAAGUAAAGAUAAAGCUCAAAAGACUGAAAAAAGUAGAGUAAAUGUAGAGCAAGCUAAGGAUAUUGGACCACAGAGCCCGUGGGCAAAUGCCUUGCCUGAAGAAGUAUUGGCUAGGAUUUUUGACUAUGCUACUCAAGCAGGCUCUUUACCAACUAUUGUAAGAUUAAGUAGAGUAUGCAGACUGUGGUACAAUGUGAGCUGUCGGCCCGAGUUUUGGAAGCAUAUGGAUCUCGCUCAAUAUGCGAUUGAAAAGUUCAAAACUGAUUACAAGCUAGUGUGGAUUCUUGAAAAUAGGCUGUCGCAAUGUCAAGUUCUCAAUAUAGCCCAGUGGAAGGUGAGCAACGUGUCGUGGGUGCUGGCGUGCGUGGCCGACUACUGCCCCGGGCUAGUGGAGCUCAGCGUGGCCGGCUGGAGCCGCAUCACAUCCGAACAACUGUACGAGCUCAUGCAGGGGUUGCCGGCGCUCCAGCGGCUGGAUCUGUCGCUUACGUCUGAGACGGGCGGUUCUUCCACGUGUCUGUCAGCGGCGUCGAUGGCGCGAGUGGCGGCGGCGUUCGGCGCGCGGCUCACACACCUCAUACUCGCCAACAACAAGUUCACCGCGCUCACGCAGAUACUCACUUCUGUUGCGACGCACUGUGCUAAUCUCGAGGUAUUGGACAUAUCGGGUGCACUGGCGAUAUCUCACCCCGCGCCGAUACCGCUGGAGGCGCUGCAGAAGGGCUGCCCCAAGCUGCGCGUCUUCCGCGCCGCCAACUCGCAGCUCGUGCUGGCCUCAGCCACCACCUCGCAGCAGAUGGAGUCCGGCGGUUGGAGUCAACUAGAAGAACUAUCUAUAGCUGGCAAUGCGACGGUGGAACGCGAAGCUCUCGGCGAGUACAGGUUCGGUGACGAGGCUUUGGCUCGCCUCGUCCGAGCUGCGACUAGACUCCGGCUGUUGGAUCUGAGAAACCUGCAGCGAUUGACAGACAGCGGCCUCGUGAGAGUCCCAGCGUGGGACUUGCAGCAUCUGUUCCUUGGAGGUUGUAACGUCACUCGUCAAAACAACGCCUGUUUGGAACUGAUAUGUGAGAAGUGGUCGCACAGUUUACUAGAGCUGGACCUGUCCUGGGCGUCGGCGGCCAAAGUCCUCGACGACGCGGUGUCUGCACUCGCUGACUCACCCAAUAGCAAACUAAGAAUUCUCAACUUGUGCGGCUCGUCUGUGUCGUUCGAAGCUGUCAAAAAGGUGCUGUUAAAGUGCCCGCAUUUAGAGUCCAUCAACCUCAGCUCGUGUCGAGCCCUCCCCCGGGGUAUAAAGAGACUUUUCACUGGAACCGAUCUUCAGAAUCUCAAGGACAGUCUCGAUCCAGAGAAGGAAGCGAAGGCCAAGGAGGAGGAAACCAAGAAGAAAAAGUCGAAGAAAACUGAAGCCUCAAAACCAGCGUCGAGUGAGAGUGACUCCGUCAGCACCGCGGCUGAAACUUCCAAGUUAGAAAACACUCCCCCCAUUAAGUCCCCCGAGACUGUUUUCCAGGAGCCAAAAAGUGUAUCGGACAGCAGCAUGUUGCUCGAUAAAGUUUCGCCUGCUGAAGCUAAAUUAAAGUCUCCGACAGCUAAAUCUGAGACAGCCGGCUCCGAGACGCUUCCGACGUCAGUCGAAAGGAAACACAGUUCCAGAGGAUCAACACCGAACUUAUCUAGUCCCCUCGCCCAGUCCAAGCCCGACUCCUCCUCCACCCCGAGCUCGGACCCCUUCAAGACCGACUUCGGGAGCCCCCAUUUCAGUCCCGUCCAGAAACCGGAUAGCCAGGUGCCCCACAGCCCCGGAGUCGCGUCGGAGCCCAUGAAGACCAGCCCGUGGAGCCUCGGGUCGUUCAAGCGCACCCCGACUCACAAGUCAGAGGCCAGCCCGCUCAAUAGAUUGGAGGGCCCCACAAAGCUCAAACACGGGAAAGUCGUCGAGCAGUGCAGCCCGACGACCUCGCUGGAGAACAAGCCGAGCCCCGAAACUUUGGGCGUCAAACAGAAGGAGCAGGACAUAAAACAUCCCAACAACUGGAGCUACGCCCGCCAGGAGUCCAGCCCGAUGAGGCGCCAGGAGGCCCAGUUCGCCUCGCAGCGGAGCCCCUACUCUGCGCAACCGAGCCCGGCCCAGCCGAGCCCCUACUCGACACAGCCGAGCCCUUACUCGACCCAGCCCAGCCCAUACUCGUCGCAGCCCAGCCCGUACUCCGCGCAGCCCAGCCCCGACACCAGCCAGAUCGCGAAGCCCGAGCUGCAGAAGACGGGCUGGAACACCGGCGGCUACAGCCCCAUGCGGAAACACCCCGCGCCGUUUUCCCCGCACCCCGCGACCCUCGCGAGCCCCGACCCCGGCCUCGGGCUCAAGGUCGACGGCGUGAUCAUGAGCAACCCCAACAAGACGCCGGUCCAGUACAGCCCGAUGUCGCGGCCGCAGCACCCCAGCCCGUACUCGCCGCGGCCCGGCGUCGACCCCGGCUACGUCGCCCGCCGGAGCCCCGGCGUCGGCGGGUACAGCCCCAUGGUCCGGCCGGACUGCCACCUGCCCAGCCCGGACGCGGCGCCGCCCCGCCCCCCGGCCCGCCAGGACGCGUACGGCCGCACCAUGGCGCUCAAGAUGCCGGAGGGGCCGCCCACCGCGCCGCCACCGGAGAUCCCCGGCUGGGGCGCGGACCGGUUCGGCCAGAUGAGCGCCGCCACCGCGCAGAGCAUCGAGUCGCUCGUGUGGAGCGAGCUGGAGGCGGGCAUGCUCAACACGCCGCCGCCGCAGCCCUGGAGCCAGUCGCCGUUCGACGGCGGCCCCCGCCGCGCCCCUGACGCCGGCGACCCGUGGACGCUGAGCCAGUUCCGGAUGGAGCCGCCGACGCCGGACCAGCACACGUUCGUGGAGCAGAACGUCAGCUUCGAGUCACUCAGCACGCACCUGAGCCACCAGCACGCGCUGCAGAGCUACCUGGACGACAACUUCAGCGAGACGUCGCGCGUGGACUGACGGGGCCCCGCGCCCCGCCCUCUCGCCUCGUCGCCUACGUCUCUCGGUAGAUCCCCUCUAGGGUAACGCUCCUAUAAAUUUGAACAAUUACUAUUAGAUAUUGUAAAUAAGAGUAUUUAGAUAGGUGUAAGUGUAACGAGCUAGGUGCGUCUUUCAGCCUAUGUGAUCGCAUUCGGACGAGUUCGAUCGACGGAGUGUAUAGGUGUCUUAUUCGUAGUGAAAUACGUUUUGCGUCGCGAUCUGUUGUAAUAGUGUUCUAUUGUAGUUUUGUAUUUAUAUAUCUACCUUUUGGCUGUAAAUGAUUUUAUUUGCGAUGAAUUCGAAGCAAUAAUAUUUUUAACGCUAGACGCGGCAUAGUGGUGCUACCCGCCCGAGUGAAGUGUCACUUACAUGCAAUAUUCCAUUACUGAAAUCGUUUAAUUUACACACAUUCCUGUUUUUACUAAGUGCACUCGCACCGUACAUUUACACAAGAAUGAGCGGAUGCCACAUUGCUUUCUUGUGUUGUGUCUAUGCUGUCGUGUUAUAAAAUUUGAUAUAUCACAUUAAUUUGUUACGUUAUUAGACAUGGCUCAGGAGAUAAAGUGGGAGAAAAAAUUACUCGCUAUGCUGUCACAGUCUUGUGUUGUCGCUAGUCGCCUCAACACAAAUUCAAAAUUAAAAAAAAAAAAAACAAAUGUGACAUACGAUGUUAUGCCGAUGCGACGACGCGACUCUCUGAAGCAAUGUGGCCUGGCUCUAAAAGAGUAUAGCGGUCGGGCUUAGUAAGCCGGCGAUAUUGUUAGGGAUGCAUUACAUAGAAUAUAAGAUAAAAUGAUCUGAGUUUCACACGAGCAACAAUUAUGUAAAGCUUUGCCAUGUUGAUUUGUAAAAAGAAUUAUUUAUUUGUAAAAUUUACUGCUAAAUUAUAUUUACUGGGUUAUCAUCGAAUCUGCGUACACUAGUUAAGAUAACGUAUAAGAUUUAAACACCAAAAUGUUGCAAUAAAUCGUCUUGUAAGAUAGAAGUAAUAUCUAUAUCUACAGAUAGACAUAGCACAGUUCUA
Molecule: RNA transcript, 5540 nt
Organism: Aricia agestis (brown argus)
Lineage: Eukaryota; Metazoa; Arthropoda; Insecta; Lepidoptera; Lycaenidae
Gene: Fbl6
Exons: 11
Source: RefSeq, a predicted model, not a curated record